GUCAGCGUGGGUGUCCAUGGCCGACGUGGCGGGUUCUGCCCCCGCGUCCUCCGGGUCCGGAGCCCGGCGCUCUCGC
RNAcentral lists this transfer RNA (76 nucleotides) under Streptomyces candidus. RNAcentral's name for it is "tRNA-Gln". The record is from RNAcentral. Lineage: Bacteria; Bacillati; Actinomycetota; Actinomycetes; Kitasatosporales; Streptomycetaceae.